Molecule: long non-coding RNA, 685 nt
Organism: Astyanax mexicanus (Mexican tetra)
Lineage: Eukaryota; Metazoa; Chordata; Actinopteri; Characiformes; Acestrorhamphidae
Exons: 4
Source: RefSeq, a predicted model, not a curated record
CUUGUCAAAAUCUACUUAAUUUUUUUUAAGUUUCAAGCAACAAUGUUGAACUGAGUUGACACAACUUUAUUUGAAUCAGUUCAAAUUAAAAGAAGCUUUGGUUCAAAUACAGAGCAAGACGUGCACCAUUUACAGCCGUUCGACUGGCAGUGCCAAGGCCGGAGCGUCAGGAAGAAGAAUGCAAGGCAUAAUGAGCUGUUUGGUCAAGGGAGCAGUCACCACUGAGCGUGGUGGAGUAUGUGGGGGGAACAUGGCCUGCUCGCAGAACACUUUGAUGAGGGUGAGGUCAAUAUUUCACAGCACAUCAUGAAGAUCUUCACAGUGAAGGAAGAGGGUGCAACAGAGGAUGAAGGUACCGUCUUUGAGGGUCAAGAGGUACUGGCUGGUCUUGGAAAUGUCCCACAGGCAUGUGCUGCACUUCUGGGGUUCAUAUAUGCCUUGAAUUUGCAGUACCCUAAACCACUGACAUACACAUUGGAAGUGUUUCAGAAGCUUUUUAUGGAACAGGAUGGACUGAAACUUUCUCCCAAGGUGCUGUCUCUUAAAACAACAGCUGUUAAUUAAGCCUUGCUAUCUCGAAUAGGCUUGAAGGAGAACGCUGGUGUAAAGUUGACUUGGUGUAAUAAAACAUGAUAUUUUUUUUUUUACUAAAACCUGCCAAUAAAUGCAAAAGUGGUUAAAAGUC